This 65-nucleotide transfer RNA is filed under the name Proctoporus cf. bolivianus Ca3. Its description in RNAcentral is "tRNA-His". It matches the Rfam family "tRNA". Rfam says of the family: Transfer RNA (tRNA) molecules are approximately 80 nucleotides in length. Lineage: Eukaryota; Metazoa; Chordata; Lepidosauria; Squamata; Gymnophthalmidae. The record is from RNAcentral.
UGUCUAUAUAGUUUAAUCAAAACACUAGACUGUGAACCUAGAAAUAGAAAAUAUUCUUAUAGACC